AUGUCGCCCUCGGUCGCCAGGAUUCGCUGUACUGUCUGCAAGACGUUGGUUGCCAUGGUGACGUCCCCACAGACAAACAUGUGGCCCCGCUCGAGGCACAGCACGCGGUGCACUUCAGCAGCUAGCUCAGUCCUCAGGAUGUCCUGCACGUCCUGUGUCCUACCCAGGGCUCUACCUGGCUGAGGGCCUCUAGCUCCUGCUGUUCGCUGGACUCUUCAGCCAGGGUGCUGAGCAGUUGCAGGAGGCGUGGGCUGGGCGGAGAGGUGAUGUCCAGGAAGAAGGUGGCCACAGGAGCCAUCGAGGCUGAGGUCGUUCCUGUGGGUGCACAGCUCUGGUGGCAGGAGGGAGGUUGAGGCCCGUGUAUGCCUUGGUUUCCCCACAGUGACAUCUCUGGAUUCCGGUGGAGGUUCCACCAACUGAUCCCACACCCCCAGUAUCAUGUUCCUAAAGCUUCUGGGGUCUCGUCCUGCUCCGAAACUUCCAGGGGUUCCCUUUGUG
Molecule: non-coding RNA, 498 nt
Organism: Heterocephalus glaber (naked mole-rat)
Lineage: Eukaryota; Metazoa; Chordata; Mammalia; Rodentia; Bathyergidae
Source: RefSeq, a predicted model, not a curated record